Molecule: ribosomal RNA, 400 nt
Filed under: phytoplankton environmental sample
Lineage: Eukaryota
Description: partial small subunit ribosomal RNA
Rfam family: Eukaryotic small subunit ribosomal RNA
Source: RNAcentral
AGCUCCAAUAGCGUAUAUUAAAGUUGUUGCAGUUAAAAAGCUCGUAGUUGGAUUUGGGACUGGAGUCGUUCGGUCGGCCGCAAGGUCUGUUACUGAACGGCUCUGUCAUCACAUUCCCAGAGACCUGCCGUGUACUUAACUGUGUGCGGUACGGGAUUUGGGACGUUUACUUUGAAAAAAUUAGAGUGCUCAAAGCAGGCUAUCACGCUUGAAUAUUCGUGCAUGGAAUAAUGGAAUAGGAAGUCGUUUCUAUUUUGUUGGUUUUCGGAAAUUGACUUAAUGAUUAAUAGGGACAGCCGGGGGCAUUAGUAUUCGGACGACAGAGGUGAAAUUCUUGGACCGUCUGAAGACUAACUACUGCGAAAGCAUUUGCCAAGAGUGUUUUCAUUAAUCAAGAACG